UGGAGCUCUAGAAGCUGUCACUGUGUAC
This 28-nucleotide non-coding RNA is filed under the name Homo sapiens (human). Lineage: Eukaryota; Metazoa; Chordata; Mammalia; Primates; Hominidae. The record is from RNAcentral.